GGGAGCGAACUCUGUCUAUGUCCGUCAAACAAACGAGGAAGUAAUGGCGUCUCGCGUCGUUUCGCUUUCCGAUAUUCCUGACAAAUUAUCAUAAAUGUGACAUUACAAUGCGAAAAAAAUAGAAGUCAAAGGAAUUUGUAACUGGCUGCUACAUCGGAAGGCUCGAUAUAUCUUUAGAAAAUGACGAUAUCUAACAUUUACGGGGUGAAAUCUAUCCAAGUCAGAGAAAAUCGGAUAGCCGCAAUGUUGUCAACAUUGACAUCGAUACAAAGGAAAAGCGUGUGUGUGACGCAUACUGUAAAUGCAAACAAGGAAAUUGUGGAACAUGUUCACACACUCUGGCUGUAAAAGUAGACCUGGGAGGAAAAGUGCCCCCGGUGUGGGGCUCGAACAACCACCAGAACACUAGCCCGGCGCUCUAACCAACUAAGCUGACCGGGCAGCUGGUUCUAACCCACACACACUACCCUCCCCCCAUUUACCGGUUAAGGCUGGUGGAGGGUCUCCUGCUAUUUACCGUUGACACCAUUAAAGUAUUCUGAUUGAUGGAGAUAAGGAAGUCCCCUUAUAAUUGUCUUCAACAAGCCUACCGCCACAGGAGACCUAGCAUAAGACCGGAAACCGCCCCCCCCCCCCACACACACAUGAUAUUUGCCAGUCCAGGCAAUGUCAACCGCAAGAGAAAACCAGUGAUGACAAGUUUUACAAAUAAUCGGAAAGUGUGGUCUUUUGAAGAGAGUUCUUGAAGUUGUUCAGCAUGUUGUUUUGAUGGAUUCUUGGAAGGAUGUACCUCUAUGAUGAUAGCUUCAGUUCUGGAGUAUAACACCAGUUGUUGCAUAUUUAAUAUCAGAUUUAUUAAAUACAUUGUUGUUUUGCAAACAUUACUUAAACUUUGAUAUUUCUUUGGUGUUUAUGUAUGAUAUUGUAGGUGAAUAUCUCUUUAUUGCAAUGGCAAAUAUAUUUUAAAAUAUAUAGCAUUAGCAGAAGUUAUUUUUCACUGUUAAAGCUGCACUUUCACAGAUUGAUCACUUUGACAACUUACACAGGAUUCGAUUGCAUUUAUCAUAUUUUGGCUCGGAGAAGUUUGCUUUGUGAUUUAUAUAUGAGGUCUUAAUUUAAAGAAUGCCAAAAUAAGCCGAUUCUGAGACAAAAAGUGUCAAACUAGAAUUCUGUGAGAGUGCAACUUUAAGAAUACUGUUAAUCGAGUGUGCAUGUGAUCCGGACUCUGAACAUUGGAUGAACUAUCAUUAAAUAUUGUAGAUUUACGUAAAUGGCCCAAAAUAUAAGAAUAACAAUGAAAAUAUGUA
Mya arenaria is the source of this 1307-nucleotide long non-coding RNA. RefSeq lists it as uncharacterized. The transcript is spliced from 3 exons. Lineage: Eukaryota; Metazoa; Mollusca; Bivalvia; Myida; Myidae. The record is from RefSeq and is a predicted model, not a curated record.